RNAcentral lists this ribosomal RNA (497 nucleotides) under uncultured bacterium. RNAcentral describes it as "partial 16S ribosomal RNA". It matches the Rfam family "Bacterial small subunit ribosomal RNA", at positions 28 to 507 of the family's 1533-position model. The record is from RNAcentral.
GAUGAACGCUGGCGGCGUGCCUAAUACAUGCAAGUAGAACGCUGAAGCUUGGUGCUUGCACCGAGCGGAUGAGUUGCGAACGGGUGAGUAACGCGUAGGUAACCUGCCUCUUAGCGGGGGAUAACUAUUGGAAACGAUAGCUAAUACCGCAUAAAAGUCUAUAUCGCAUGAUAUUGAUUUGAAAGGUGCAAAUGCAUCACUAAGAGAUGGACCUGCGUUGUAUUAGCUAGUUGGUUAGGUAACGGCUCACCAAGGCGACGAUACAUAGCCGACCUGAGAGGGUGAACGGCCACACUGGGACGGAGACACGGCCCAGACUCCCGAGGGAGGCAGCAGUAGGGAAACUUUGGGAAUAGGGGCAAACCUGACCGAGCCACGCCGGGUGAGUGAAGAAGGUUUUCGGAUCGUAAAGAUCUGUUGUAUGAGGAGAAAGAGUGUGAGAGUGGAAAGUUCACACUGUGACGGUAACUUACCAGAAAGGGACGGCUAACUACGUG